This is an RNA transcript of Orcinus orca (killer whale), 6103 nucleotides long. It is a transcript of the gene named zinc finger protein 271, with no coding region annotated. The record is from RefSeq and is a predicted model, not a curated record. The transcript has 3 exons. NCBI's taxonomy places the organism in Eukaryota, Metazoa, Chordata, Mammalia, Artiodactyla, Delphinidae.
AUCCUCCCAGAUUCCUAGAGCGGUCGGCGGUGAUGGCCGGUUUACAGGGUGUGAGGCUUGACGGUGACUUAGAGAAUACAUCGAGGUAUGGGUGAUGUCGGCUCACGGAAGGCGGAGGAACUCGGGUGAUCUGCCCUCCCCAGCGGCCUUGCAGCGCCACCGGGGAACCGUAUGCUGUUUCUUGAGUCCGUGGGGAGUCGAGGCUGCCGACGUGGCCCCCAGGCGCGGCUCCUGGGCACUGCGAGCUGGUCGGUUCUCGGCCUGGUGUGCUUUUGAGGAUGCUCCUGGUGGUCUAGUCUCAGAACUUAUAUCUCCAGUCUCCGCAAUGAUUCCCUUCCAAGUCCAGUGGUGCCCAGUUGCCUCCAGGUCUCAGACUCCUACGUGGACAAGAAAAGCUUAGUGAGGAAAUGGUAAAUCUCCAGUUGCUCCCUGAGGUGUCAAGUGUCCAGUGGCAGUCUAUGGAGAUCCAAUUCAAUUAUGAAGCUCAAGAACACUACCUUCUGUCAGGUUACUUCCGUGAACCAUUGACUGGGCCUAUUAGACAUGAGAGAACUACGAGGCACCCCCACUGAGUCCUCUGAGUUCCAGUAGCAGCAACCAUUUCCCCACUGGUGAUUGGUAUCAGUCAUUCUGGCCGGUAGAGGGACCCCAUCUCUGCGGGCUGGUUUGGCAGUUUGAGGAGCCCAAAAUGCUGAAGCAGGAAGCAGUCUCAACUUCAAAUUUAACAAAAUUAUGACUUUGUCCCAUGGUAGAAGUAUUUUUCCUUUGAGAAUCAGAACCCUGAACCCACCAAGCCCAAGAUCAUAGGGAUAGGAAGCAAAAAUAAUAUAAGUGGAUUAUGAGGUAUAUAGUAAGAAGAGACAUUAUUACUUUCUCUACCACCGUUCGUUCCUAUACCCAUGUAUUAUGGCCAUGGGGGAGACAACACUGUUUAUCACCCUUUAGUUUAAUGCGUAUAUUGCAUCCUGUAUGACAGCACCCCAAACUUACCAAGGUGUUGUUGUCUAGCUUGUACUGUAACUGAGCCUACAUUUAAUCAUUCCACCAUUAUCACAAUCCACUUACUUCUGGAUGAUGGGACAUGUGGUAAGACCCAUGAAUUAUAUGUGUAUUAGAUCAUUGCUUAACUUCCUUCCCUGUAAAAUGACUCCUUUGGAGGUAAUAUUAUAGAGAGUACCAUGAUAAUAUAUACGGCAUUCUCUUAAGUCAAUGCAAAUUUGUAUCUAGACUAUGUAUUUAGUCCUUUGAAGUUGCUGCCCUUUCCAUAAUAAAAGGGGUCAGAUGUAAUAAAUCUGUCCCCAAGUGGCUAGCUGUUUCCUCUCUAGGGAAUGGUACCUUAUUAGGGCCUUAGCAGUUGGCUACUUGGGCACAUAGCAAUGAUUAUAGGCAUGUCAAUCUUAAUAAGUGGAGGUCCGUAUUGUUGAGCCCAUAUAUAGCCACCAUCCCUGCUGCCAUGACCUCUUUGUACAUGAGUCCAUUGGGCAAACAUUGGUAAAAAGGCUGAUUGACAUUCAUAAUAUGGAUCACCAAGUCCAUCCUUCUGAUUGAGAGGCUUCUCCACAGUGGAUGCCCUUUGGUGAGGAUUCACAUGGGCCACAAACAUAGUCAUUCUUUGGUUUAUCCUCAUACUUUUCCUCCAGAAUUCUUAUUUCUUGUCUUCCAAUCUUGUUCUUUCCAGGUACCUAACUAAUCAAAUAACCCAUUAGUCACUAUCCAUGGAUCAGUAUAUACAUGUGUCUUAGGCUAUAUUGCCUUCCAUGGAAAGUAGACCACCAGGUGUAUACCUGAAAUUCUGCCCACUGGAAGGAUUUGCCUUUACCAGCAUGUUUAAGGCCACCCCUGAGUAGGGGUGUAAGUGAAAGGUACUCACUUUCAGGUGGUGCCCACACACUGGGCAGGCCCAUCUACAAACCAGUUCUGUACAUUUUCCUCCUCUGUUAACUGGUAAUAGGGAAUUCCCAUAGGGCCAUGAAUAUAGGUUGAGGGGGAGAGGUAGUGGAGCAGUAGGAACAAGUACCAUGGGAAUCUGAGUCACUAGCACAUGGAAUAUACUUGUCUUCCAGAUAUGCUUUUAUAAUGGAAUACUGGUUUGUAUGUUCAGUUUUAUGAAUUGAUGGGUCAAAUAACAACUAAUACAUAGUGGUCAGUUUGCAAUAGUUAUUUGGUGCCCUGUGGUCAAGCAUUAAGUUUCUGUUAGUGCCCAAAAGCAAGCCAGGAUCUGCUUUUCACUUAGAAAAUUGUUGGCAGAAGACAGUAUGGCCUUACUCCAGUGUGGUUCUCUUAUAGAGGCUUGCAAGAGGCUUCAUACAGCAACCAGGACUGCUGCAGACACUUCCAAUACCAUUGGUUAUCCUGGUUAAUGAGGGUCAUGUGACAGGACAGCUUGCAUUGCAACAUGGUCCUACUGCAGAACGUUUUUUUACUCUAAGCCUCACUCAAAAGUAGCAACUGUGCAAGUUACUCAAAUUGGUCAUUUCAGCACAUUUAGUAUGGUAUCUGUUGCCUCAAAAAUGCAGGGCCCACCAACAUUGUGCCUUUCUGAGGUGGUAACAGUUGGUUAGAGAGAUAACCAAAGUGAAAGCAUAAGCCAUGUAACCAUCUGAGAGAAGAGUCUUCCAGGUGGAGGGAAUAGCAAAAGUCAGAGGCCCAUAGAUAUAGCAGGAACAGAGUAAUAAGCCUGGGGUAGACAUGUGAUAGGGGUGGUUUAGAAUGAAAUGAGGGCAGAGAGAAAGAAAGGGACCAGAUCAUAUGGAACCUUCUAAGUCACGGUAAGGACUUAGAAUUUAUUCCCAGUGAAAUGGGAAACCAUUGGAACUCUUUACAUAGGAUAACAUGUAAAGAUCACUCUGACUGUUGUAUGGAGAGCAGGAGAAAGGUAAGUUAGCAAGAAGAAAGCAAAUGAUUUAAGAGAGUAGUCAACUAUGUCAAACAAAUCAAGAAUAGAUUGAAAAUUGACCACUGGAUUUGUCAAGAUAAAGCAUAUUAGGGACUUUAAUAAGUGCAGUUUUGAUGGAGUUAUGGAGAUAAAAGCCUGAUUGCAUUGGGUUAAAAAGAGAAUAGACUUCUUUUGGUUAGAAUAUAGUGCAAUGUGAACUAUAUACACCUGAUGGAAGUGUGAAUUGGCUUAACCACUUUGGAAAAGUCUAGUUGAAGACCUAACAGUUCUGAUCCUAAAUUUAUAUAACCUAGAGAAACAUUUGGAUAUGUGUAUCAAGAUAGACGUACCAGCAUAUUCAUAUCAGCAUUGUUUGAAAUAGCAAAAUGUUCUUAUCCAUUGAAGAAGAAUGGAUAAAUCACUUCUGGUGUAUGUCACACUAUAAUAGUGAACAUGAAUGGACUACAGCUACACACAUGACUGUGGAUGAAUCUUCCAAACAUAAUGUUGAGUAAAAAAACAAGUCACAGAAUACGUGUGGUAUGAUUCCAUAAAUGUAUAAAGUUAAAAAACAUGCUGUAUUUGCCUGCUAGGGCUAUAACAAAACCACAGACUAGGUGGCUUAAACAACACAAAUUUGUUUUCUCAGUUCUAUGCAUUAAUUUUAGCCAUCUAUGCUUUGAUUUCUUCUAGAAGUAUUAUAGUUUUAGCUUUUAUAUUUAGGUUUAUAUUACAUUUCUAGUUAAUUUUUGUGUAUAGCAUAAGGAAAGAGUCAGAGUUAAUUUUUGUUAUUAUGAUAUCCAGUUGUAACACUUUUUUUGAAAAGAGACUACCCUUUCACCCUUGAAUUAUAUGGGCAACUUUGUUGAAGGUCAGUUGUACAUAUAUGUUUGGAUCUAUUUAUAGACUCUGUUCUAUUCCAUUAAUGGAUAUGUCUAUCCUAUGCCAGUACCUCGCGGCCUUGAUUACUGUAGCUUUGUAGUAAAGCUUGAAAUCAGGGAGUAUAAGCUCUCUAAUUUUGUUCUUCUUUUUCAAAAUUGUUUAGACCCUUCUCUGCCUUUCUACACAAAGUUUAGAAUCGGUUUGUCAGUUUCUAUGAAGAGCCCUGCUGAGAUUUUGAUUGGGGUUGCAUUGAAUCCAUAGAUCAAUUUGGGGAGAAUUUCAUCACUUUAACAAUAUUAAAUCUUCCUAUACGUAAAUGAUGGCAUAUAUUUCUAUUUAUUAGAUCUUUAAUUUCUCUCAGCAACAUUUUGUAGUUUUCAUUAUGCAGAUACUGCACAUAUUUCAUUGAAUUUGUUUCUAAUUAUUUCAUUUUUUUGGUGCAAUUGAAAAAAAUUGUUUUUAAUUUUAGGUUCUAAUUGUUCAUUGCUAGUAUACAGAAAUACAAUCAGGUUUUGUGUAUUGCACUAAUAAAACCAUUUACAAGUUCUAAUAACUUUUUAAAGACACUUUAGUAUUUUCUGUAUACGUGACUGCAUAGUCUAUAAGACAGUUUGACUUCUUGUAUGCCUCAUUUAUUUUUCAUGUCGUAUUGCAUUUACUAUGAAUAUUGAGUAAAAGUUGUACAAUAUUGAAUAAAAGUAGUUAAGAGAGGGCAUCCUUAUUUUCCUCCCUUGUUCCUAGGACAAAAGCAUUUAAUGUUUAACCAUUAAGUAUGAUGUUAGCUGUUGGUCUUUCUUUGCUUUUUAUUGAAGUAGUUAAUUUACAUGUAACAUAGUUGAUGUUUGGAUUUAAAUGUACCAUCUUAUUUUUUGUUAUUUUCCCAUAUUUUGUUUCUUUUUUGUUUUUCUUUUUUCUCCCUUUGUGCCUAAUUUAAUUAUGUUAUCAAGUUUUUUAUUUUUCUGUUUUUUUCUCUAUUAGCUUAUUGUUUGUACAUCCUUUUAUUGUUAUUUAAUUGUCACCUAAUAGCAGCCUUUCUCAAAUGUGAUUCUGUGAGAGAAUUAAGCCAAAAUGCUCUGAGGCAUCCACUGUAAGUUACAUAUUAAUGUUUCUUCUGUACAUCUAUUGAUUUACUUGCUAUCUACCAUCUUUGGGAGAAUGAAGAAAAUAGGCAAAUUAUUUUCUUUUUAUUUUUUUGUGGAACCCUAGUUGAAAAAGGCUGCCUUAGAAGUUACAACAUACACAUUUGAUUUAUUACAGUUUAUCUUAAUUUAUUAUUUCUAGGAUAACCCAAAGACCUUGUAAUAUUAUAGUUCUAUUUACCUCCCUCCUCUUGUGCUAUUUUUGCCAUAUAUUUUAACUCUACAUAUAUAUUGUAAAAUCCGUGAGACUUUCAUAUUGCUUAUAUCAUUCAGUACAUACACAUUUAGAUUUACCGCAAUACUUUACUUUUUCCAGUACCCUUUGCCUUUGGCAAAGAGGAUAAGCCUCCACUUGGAGGCUUGGGAUUUUGGACUUUAGCCCUUGAAAUUAAUCUUUGUCAUGUUUUCAGCUCUCUAGACCGUUUGCAGUCUGAGAAUGGUGUGCCUUUUAUAGUAAACACCACUUAAUAAUGGACUGAUAGUCUCAAGAAUUUCAAUGGAGCUCCCAUGUUCUCUACCAUUACAGGCCUCUGGUAUUGUUGAGCAGAGGAAUAAUCUCCUCAAAAAUCAACUCAAAAGAGAUUUCUGAUCCUACCUCCCUAACCUUUUUCUGGUCCACAUACCUUAGUAAGGAAGUUUGGUCACUGAAUAUGGCUGUUCCCAAAAGGAUCAUGUUUUCUAGGCCACUUCUUUCUAAUAAUCAGGGCAAAAGAGGUGGAGGACUAUGUAGACCUCUUUUUGAAAAUUCAGGCUUCUUUUCUAACCAUUCCUGAGCUUGAUGCUUCUUUCUUUCCACUAAUGACAACAUGUGACCAGCCUGGUUGGUAUACACUCACAGUGACAGCCUGGCUGCCACUGCCUCCUCCUCCUCUCCCUCCCUUUCACCUCCUCCCCCACUCCUUCACCCAAGUAUUCAUUCAUACUGCCUACUUUAUAUAUGUCAGUAAGUUGUUUAUGUAUUAGCUCUAAUAUAGUCAAACUUUCCUAAUCACUGUAAUUAUGUUUCAGUAUUCCUAGAUCUCCUGUGACAGACAUAUACAGAACAUAUCUGAUAAGCCACUUCAAUAAACGAUUAUCCAUUACUUGUUGAUUCUUCUUAGUUUCCCUCUUAGAAGAUAAUUUUCAGUAUUUUCAUAGGAAAAUACUAAUAUAUUUCACCUGAAACUUUCUUACAGUAUGGAGAACAUAUUCCAUUUAUAUUUUAUUG